CCUGAGAAACGGCUACCACAUCCAAGGAAGGCAGCAGGCGCGCAAAUUACCCACUCCCGGCACGGGGAGGUAGUGACGAAAAAUAACGAUACGGGACUCAUCCGAGGCCCCGUAAUCGGAAUGAGAACACUUUAAAUCUUUUAACAAGUACCUAAUGGAGGGCAAGUCUGGUGCCAGCAGCCGCGGUAAUUCCAGCUCCAUUGGCGUAUAUUAAAGUUGUUGCGGUUNNNNNNNUCGUAGUUGGAUCUGUGUAUCGGACGGUCGGUUCGCCGCUCGGUGUUUGACUGACCGGUUCGGACGUCAUGCCGGUGGGACCUCGGCGCACGGUUCCGUAACUUACCCUCCGCGCUGCUCUUAACCGAGUGGUCAGGUGGGCCGGCACGUUUACUUUGAACAAAUUAGAGUGCUYAAAGCAGGCCUUAUGCUGCCUGGAAAUGUGUGCAUGGAAUAAUGAAAGAGGACCUUGGUUCUAUUUUGUUGGCUUUCUGAACUCGAGGUAAUGAUUAACAGGGACAGACGGGGGCAUUCGUAUUGCGACGUUAGAGGUGAAAUUCUUGGACCGUCGCAAGACGGACCGAUGCGAAAGCGUUUGCCAAGAAUGUUUUCAUUGAUCAAGAACGAAAGUUAGAGGUUCGAAGGCGAUCAGAUACCGCCCUAGUUCUAACCAUAAACGAUGCCAGCCAGCGAUCCGUCGAUGUUCAUUCAAAUUGAUUCGACGGGCAGCCUCCGGGAAACCAAAGUUUUUGGGUUCCGGGGGAAGUAUGGUUGCAAAGCUGAAAC
RNAcentral lists this ribosomal RNA (780 nucleotides) under Stenonema sp. WCW-2001. RNAcentral's name for it is "SSU rRNA". It matches the Rfam family "Eukaryotic small subunit ribosomal RNA", at positions 397 to 1154 of the family's 1831-position model. Lineage: Eukaryota; Metazoa; Arthropoda; Insecta; Ephemeroptera; Heptageniidae. The record is from RNAcentral.